GAUGAACGCUAGCGGCAGGCCUAAUACAUGCAAGUCGAGGGGCAGCAUGAAGUAGCAAUUCUUUGAUGGCGACCGGCAAACGGGUGCGGAACACGUACACAACCUUCCUUUAAGUGGGGAAUAGCUUCGAGAAAUUUGGAUUAAUACCCCGUAACACAAUGAAGUGCCAUCAUUUUGUUGUUAUAGUUUCGUUGCUUAAUGAUAGGUGUGCGUCUGAUUAGAUUGUUGGCGAGGUAACGGCAAACCAAGUCUACGACCAUUAGCUGAUGUGAGGGCAGGAUCAACCGCACGGGCACUGAGACACGGACCCGACUCGUACGGGAGGCAGCAGUAAGGAAUAUUGUUCAAGGGACGCAAGUCUGAACCAGCCAUGCCGCGUGAAGGAUUAAUGUCCUCUGAAUUCUAAACUACUAUGAAAGAGGACAAAAAAAAGUCUUUCUAGACCCCUUGACGGUACCAUAUGAAUAAGCACCGGCUAACUCCGUG
This 486-nucleotide ribosomal RNA is filed under the name uncultured bacterium. RNAcentral's name for it is "partial 16S ribosomal RNA". It matches the Rfam family "Bacterial small subunit ribosomal RNA", at positions 28 to 507 of the family's 1533-position model. The record is from RNAcentral.